ACACACAAAUUCAUAGAUAUUAAAUAAUUAAAACAGCAGACUAAGACACGGUCUAGAAGGAAGUCUGUGACUCCGAGUCGGCCUGUGUGUGAACCUGAAAAAGAGUCUCCUGGAUGGUCGUGGUGGUCUCGUUUCCCCGUCCGAGAUACCUGCCCCCGGACUCCAUUCCGUGCCAUCUUGGUAACACAGAUUGAAAAGCUAAGAAAUACAUCUGCCAGAAUCCACUGCCAUCCAUCUUCUGGUUUAAGUUCCUUUAAUGAGGAAACCCAAUCCACACUGGAACAAGUCUUUUCAAGACAUGGAUGUAAUUUGGUGAAUAGCUUUGCUUACAUCAAAAUAUGCCCGAGGGCUAACUCCAGGAAAUCAUAACUGAGAUGCAGCAUGGUGUGCUCUUAGUCUCUGCAGUUUUAUGGAGAAGCACAGUGGAAAGUGGAAGAGAGAAUCUACUAAUGUAGACUCUUUAGUAGGUAGAGGUCACCAAAGGAAAGGGGAGCUCCCUGGGGAUGGACUGUGGAGAGGCUGUCAUCUCCCUGAAUAGUCUGUAAAAUUUGAAACAGGUGAGCAUAGUCGGGGGAGGGGACAACCCACAGUUUCACCAAUCCUCAAAAAUCAUAACUUAGAAAAAGUUCAGGACGACCUAGGUAGAAGUUUAACCACCUAGUUUGGGAUUCCCAGAGUUUAUCUGUUGAGUUACUUCUUUGCUCCUCAUCUCCCAAGUCCUCUGGUACAUAUCUGGUAGAAGUACCUGCUAAUGGAGAAGCGUGAUGGGCAGCCAAGAGGAUCCACAUGAAUUGUGGAGGACACGUACGCUGCUAUCUGCCCACAUCUGUGGCUUUUUCCAUCUCUUCCCUUGUAGGAAAUUCUCCAAGACACAAAAAAAGUAGAGAAAGAGUCAGGGGUGUCUAUGGGAGAACGAUCUCCCUUUCACAUGUGUCCAGCAAAGCCGACUUUCAAGAGCCCCUGAUUAAGGGAGAAAGGCAGUGCCAGAGCAGGUCAGGCUCUCCGAGGCGCUCAGAAUGUCUAGGGCUCCCAACAAGAGUCAGUCAAGCUGGAACUCCAGCGGCUUCCCUGAGAUAACACGGGCUCAAGUCUCACUCUUUCCAACUAGCAUUCACCUUGCUUUCCUGGAAGAUAGUU
Non-coding RNA from Vicugna pacos (alpaca), 1137 nucleotides. The record is from RefSeq and is a predicted model, not a curated record. Lineage: Eukaryota; Metazoa; Chordata; Mammalia; Artiodactyla; Camelidae.